Molecule: ribosomal RNA, 253 nt
Filed under: uncultured bacterium
Lineage: Bacteria
Description: partial 16S ribosomal RNA
Rfam family: Bacterial small subunit ribosomal RNA
Source: RNAcentral
GACGAACCGUCCGAACGUUAUUCGGAAUCACUGGGCUUAAAGGGUGCGUAGGCGGCGCGGAAAGUUGGGUGUGAAAUCCCUCGGCUCAACCGAGGAACUGCGCCCAAAACUACCGUGCUCGAGGGAGAUAGAGGUGAGCGGAACUUAGGGUGGAGCGGUGAAAUGCGUUGAUAUCCUAAGGAACACCGGUGGCGAAAGCGGCUCACUGGAUCUCUUCUGACGCUGAGGCACGAAAGCAAGGGGAGCAAACAGG